AGAGGACCGGAGUGGACGAACCUCUGGUGUUCCGGUUGUCACGCCAGUGGCAUUGCCGGGUAGCUAUGUUCGGAAAAGAUAACCGCUGAAAGCAUCUAAGCGGGAAACUUGCCUCAAGAUGAGAUCUCACUGGGAACUUGAUUCCCCUGAAGGGCCGUCGAAGACUACGACGUUGAUAGGCUGGGUGUGUAAGCGUUGUGAGGCGUUGAGCUAACCAGUACUAAUUGCCCGUGAGGCUUGACCAUAUAACACCCAAACA
This 259-nucleotide ribosomal RNA is filed under the name Pseudomonas aeruginosa. RNAcentral describes it as "partial 23S ribosomal RNA". It matches the Rfam family "Bacterial large subunit ribosomal RNA", at positions 2686 to 2925 of the family's 2925-position model. The record is from RNAcentral. Lineage: Bacteria; Pseudomonadati; Pseudomonadota; Gammaproteobacteria; Pseudomonadales; Pseudomonadaceae.